Molecule: ribosomal RNA, 207 nt
Filed under: uncultured bacterium
Lineage: Bacteria
Description: partial 16S ribosomal RNA
Rfam family: Bacterial small subunit ribosomal RNA
Source: RNAcentral
CAGAUUGCAGGCUGCAACUCGCCUGCAUGAAGUCGGAAUUGCUAGUAAUCGCAGAUCAGCAUGCUGCGGUGAAUACGUUCCCGGGCCUUGUACACACCGCCCGUCACACCAUGGGAGUCGGUAACACCCGAAGUCGGUAGCCUAACCGUAAGGAGGGCGCCGCCGAAGGUGGGAUUGAUGACUGGGGUGAAGUCGUAACAAGGUAUC